UACCAUAUAGUUUAAAUACUUACUAAAACAUUAAUCUUGUAAAUUAAAGUUAAAUCACACGAUUUUAUGGUAA
RNAcentral lists this transfer RNA (73 nucleotides) under Trachelus tabidus. RNAcentral describes it as "tRNA-Thr". The record is from RNAcentral. Lineage: Eukaryota; Metazoa; Arthropoda; Insecta; Hymenoptera; Cephidae.